CCAAGAAAGCAAAAUAGAUUUUGAGACUGAGUUGGUCCUGAAACCAAAAUAGAUUUUCAUCUUCUCUGUUACUGCAUCGCUUGGCCAUCUCUCACACUCGUCUCUCACUCUUGCUGAAAUGCAGGUGAGCAGGAAUCCCACCAAGAGAAAAGAACAAGGAUAAGGAAAAGAACUCUGUCACACUCAUCUCAUGCUGGGUUGCAGGUAACCCACCCAUCUUUGUUUCGUUCUGGAUUGUGCUUCAUAUGAGAUGCAAAAUUAUAAAUUAUAUGCGCCCACCACACUGGCACCUGCUCGGGGCUUUUGGUUGUUGCGCUACAAAACUGGAACAGGGGAAAAGGGGAUGAUUAAGGUCGACCUGUCUUUUCAAGUAAUGUUGCUUAAUUUCUUAUUCUCUUGAAUUUGCAGAUGGUUUUCUGUCUCCUUGAAGCUGGGAAUUAGCAAGCAAGCUUGCUGUGCAGAGACAGCUUCAAAUCUUUGUUGAUUUAUUUAGGAAUUUUUCUUUCUUAACUCUUCUUUCCAUCCUAAUGUCAUUUUUAAGCAUAAGGAAAUUUCAGAUUCCUAACUAAUUGAUGGAAAGAAUAAAUGGGCAGAGAUUCGCGACAUUAGGAUACUGGAAAUAGGUAGAAUAGUUGUCAUAAGACGGGGUUGAACAAAUUGUUGGUGGGAUAAGGUGCUGCCAUGAAAGAGGAGGCAAUCAGUGGUGGAAGGACAGAACUCGUGCUUGCUCAGGACAGAACUCGCUGAAGAUAUCAUCUGCAUCACCCAUUCUUUAUUUAUCGGUUAGUCUCAUUCUUGCAUUCCUCCAUUACCUCAUUUUGGAAUUUCAUCAUUUCUCAUAUUUCAAUGACACAUAAAAAUGUAGUCAGUCUUGUUCAUAGUCCAUUCUAUAUAUCCGUUUGACCCUUUUAGCCUAGUGUUUCUACCUAAUCAUUAUAUGCAAAAAUGUAUGUGCUUUUUUUAACUUCGCUUAAUGGAAAAGCGAUGUAUAAAUUUUUCGUGCUUUAGUUGUUGAUCUUGGUGUUAUCUCUCUCUUUAUUGUUUUCUUGAUUCUUAGAAUUAUUGCUACUCCCUCCGUUCCUAAAUAACUGACACUAUUUCUAUCUAAAUUUUGUUCCUAAUUAUCUGCCACUUUACAAAGUUCAAGAGAGCAUUAAUUAUAUUUUACCAAUUGUACCCUUCAUUUAUUGGUGGUAGGAAAAUUGAAAAGUUAGAAUUAAUAAGAGAGAUAAAGGGUAUAGUAGGAAGUUAGAUUGUAAUUUUAAUAAAAAAAUAUUAUUAAUUGCUAUUUCUUAAUACUUGUGCAACAACCUUAAAGUGUCAGUUAUAUAGGAACGGAGGGAGUAUAGUUUAUCUCAAAUUCAGUGUCAGACAGUUUUUCUAAUAUGGUUCCUUUCCUUGUUGUUCUUGUGUCUUGGUUCACGUGUGUGUGUGAGAGAGAGAGAGAUUCACGUUUUCUGUUACACUCCAAUGGUUGUGUGUGUGUCCAAAUUGCCCUUAUAAUUUCUACAAGUACAGAACUACUAAUCCAGAUAGUUAUAUCCUCAUUCAAUACAUGUGAACCAGAACAAGCUCUCACAGCUUCCAGAGAUGAUUAGUUGAUUGAGAGAAUGAGAUGAGGAAUAAGUAUUGUGUAUAUUCCAAUAAAUGACCCAAACAGAUAGAAAUAUCCAUAUAAUAUAAAGAAAAAGAUAACCAUAAGUUAGAAAAUUCAAGUGUUGAUAUGAUUAUAUGUUCCCAUUGAAUCCAUCUGUGCCUGACAUCCCACUAUAGGCAAUUCAUGAUGUGUACCAUCCUUCUGUAUCAUAUAUGCUGCACCAGAACGGUACAUCAUGAGCAUGCAAAUCCCAUCAGCUCCAGUUGCAAAACUGCACUGCCCCCAGUCUCAUGGCCAGGUUUGGCUGUUGUGAUUCUUUGGUUUUUGGUGGUUCAGUGGUUUGAUUCUGUUGAUCUCAUGUCUUGGUAAUUGGAAAUUGAUUUUCUUUAUCUAUCCUGAUAUGCUUCUCGUUAGUUUGCUAUUUGCUUACUAAUAUUCGAUUUAUGUGCAUCAACUUAGCAUCUUCGGUAAGGAGGUAACCCUCCAGACUUCAUUUUCUAUUCAUUUUUGGUAAGCUCUUCACUUCUUGCACUUGUUUCCAUGCUCUGAUCACACACGCAAGGGAGAGUUCAAGUUCUUCCUAUUGAGAACCAGGUUUAGAGAGGAAAAAAAAGUAAACUGAAUUGAAUUCUGUUAUCGAUAUUCUAACUGAAUACAAGAGGUGCUCUCUUAAUAUAUGGAGUGAGAGAAGCUUGCUGAAUUCAGGAACUAAUUCUAACUAAUAGAGCAGUUACCAAGAGUAAACUGACUCAACAACUAACAACAGCUAGUAACAUCCAGCUGGCACUAUAACUAACUAACUUUAUUCUCUAAUAGUCCCCCUCAAACUCAAGGUGGAGAGAAAGAGUAAUCUUGUCGAUCGCAUGGAGUUCGUCCCUUACAGCCUCAAACCGAGUUGGAGAUAGUGCCUUAGUGAAAAUAUGUGUUGGAGAUGGUGCCUUAGUGAAAAUAUAUGUCCAGGGUAUGUGAUACACAAACAUUGCCUUGUUGAGAACCUUUUCUGAAACGGGAAAAUAAUUGUCUAACUCCAUGUGUGUUUUUCGUUGUUGGAUUCUUGGUAGUCCUUAUUCCUUGUUGAGCUUUUCUUGAUUGUCUUUGUGCUAUCCAUUGUUUUGUCAUUGGUUUAUUUUCCGUUUGACCUCUGAAGUUUGUAGAGUGUUUGAAGAGACUCCACAAGACCACCUUUAAUCUCACACUUAGUUACAUCUUCUAGUGUGGUUUUUCUUUUGAGAAAAAGGUGGAAAAGUUAAGAGUGGAAGAAAAGAGUGCUCAAUAGAGAAAAAAUCAUAAAAAGUAUGAUAUGACACAUGAAUGAGUGUGAGUGGCGCGUGAGUGAGAAAAUUAAAAAGAAAAAGUAAUAUUCUCAUGUUGACUAUUCACUAGUUUUCCAUUUUUACCAUUUAGUUAAUUUUUCUUUCUUAUUUUCUCCUUUUACAAUUGUAUUGUUUGUUAUAGUGUGUUUGUAUUAGGAAUUCUCAUUGUAAUUUUUCUUUUUAGAUUGUAUAUAGGAUCAAAUCUUUGUACUUUGUAGUAGUUCCGUUGUAUUAGGAUAUAGUUUUGUACUUUUUUUUCUCUUGUAAGUGGACUGUGGACAUUCUUUUGAGAUCCUUUGGUUGAUCCCUACAUGUUUGCUGUGCUUGUGUGUGCAUCAUUAGAAAUAGGAUCUUUUGGAUGAUCCUCUAGGCUAGAAAUAGGAUCCUUUGAAGUGGUUCUUUAGGGGUGUUUUUUAUUGCUUUUGUUUUUUGCGUUUUCUUUUGGUUUUUUGCAUCGUACCUUCUUGUGAUGGCUAUUGUAUAGGAGCAAUUCUUCUCUUUCUUCUAGGUCUUGCAUAUUCAUGGACUUGUAACAUCUAAGUCCAAAAGUUGACCAUGCAAUUAGAUACAAAAGAAAAGCGUGUGACAAAGGAAAAAAUAAGAGAUGAAAAAAGAGAAAAAGAUAGUGAACUAAAAUUUCCAUUUCAUGGUUAAAGCGGUGUAGAAGCCUACUUAGAGUAGGAACUUAAAGUAGAACAACUCAAAAGUUGCCAUAAAAUUAGAACAACCCAAGUUUUCAAAACUGCAUAAUAUUGGAGGGAUAGACUAGUUAAAGAGAAGAAGAGUUACGAAUCACAUAUCUCUUCUUCAAAGAAGCUCAAAUGUCUCAAAAAUGUGUACUUUCUUUCUGCCAUAUGGUGCUCCUUCAAAAGCUCAAACGGUUCAUCCAAGGGCCCAUGCUUGUAUAUGGGUGCCAUUGGGAAUGCUCUUGAUCAGAGAUAAUCUCCAUUAAAAUGAGGAUGCACUCAUUGUGCGCUUUCUCAAUGGGUUACACAUAGAAAUAAGAGGUGUGUUGAGCUCCACAACUAUCUUGACCUUCAAGAGCUUGUCCAUCAAGUUAUCAAGGUGGAACAAUUCAAAAGAUAUAAGAAGUUUUCUACUUUGAAGGAUAAAUUUUUGAAAAUCCUCUACUUCCAAGUAGAAACAUUUCAACGAGGAUGAGAGAUUGUUAGAGGGAGAUCAUAAGGCUCUUAGGAGACUAUUACCUAGUAUAGAUGGUGAGGUAACCAAAUAGAGAACAUCUUUUGUAAAAGAUGCCUAGUUUUCACCAAUGUGGCUAGCUCUAGGCUAGUGAAUAAGCUAGGAUUUGCUGCAAAUCCUCAUCCAAAGCCAUAUAAUCUUCAAUGGCUUCUUGACCAAGAGGACUUGGUUGUAAUUUGUAAAUAAGCAAGUCCUACUUUCCUUGUUCAGAGGAAAGAGUCAUGACGGGGGCGGGAAAGCUUACA
Long non-coding RNA from Lotus japonicus, 4355 nucleotides. RefSeq lists it as uncharacterized. Lineage: Eukaryota; Viridiplantae; Streptophyta; Magnoliopsida; Fabales; Fabaceae. The transcript has 4 exons. The record is from RefSeq and is a predicted model, not a curated record.